AAGAGGGAACCCGGUGGGAAUCCGGGACUGCCCCGCAGCGGUGAGCGGGAACGACCGCCGUCAUACGCACUGGGCCCGACGCACGGGGCCCGGGAAGCGACGGCCAGUAGGUGCCUCGUACGGCAUCCGCCAGGAUCCGUACGGCACGAGGCGCGCCCGCGAGUCCGAAGACCU
RNAcentral lists this non-coding RNA (174 nucleotides) under Streptomyces mobaraensis. Lineage: Bacteria; Bacillati; Actinomycetota; Actinomycetes; Kitasatosporales; Streptomycetaceae. The record is from RNAcentral.